Molecule: unclassified non-coding RNA, 251 nt
Filed under: uncultured fungus
Lineage: Eukaryota; Fungi
Description: partial contains 5.8S rRNA and ITS2
Source: RNAcentral
AACGCACAUUGCGCCCUUUGGCAUUCCGAAGGGCAUGCCUGUUCGAGCGUCAUUGCACCCCUCCAGCACUGCUUGGUAUUGGGCUUCGCCCCUGGGGCGGGCCUGGAAGUCAGUGGCGGUCCAGCGAGACUUCAAGCGUAGCAAGAUUUCUCGAUCCCGCUUUGGAAGGUUCCUGCUGCGUGCCGGCCAGAUUCCCACAAUUUCUUUCAAUGGUUGACCUCGGAUCAGGUAGGGAUACCCGCUGAACUUAA